GAAUCCAGGAAUUGGAAGAGACUCAGGCAUACAGCCUCCCCCCCCCCAAAAAAUAGCAUUUCUCUUUGUUUCAGUUUCUAGUCCCUGUGUGUGUACAUAGGUCAAAGGUAAAAGGUAAAGGUACCCCUGCCCGUAUGGCCCAGUCUUGACAGACUCUAGGGUUGUGCGCCCAUCUCACUCUAGAGGCCGGGAGCCGGCGCCGUCCGCAGACACUUCCGGGUCACAUGGCCAGUGUGACAUCGCUGCUCUGGCAAGCCUGCACCAGCGCAGCACAGGGAACGCCGUUUACCUUCCCGCUAUAAAGUGGUACCUAUUUAUCUACUUGCACUUUUAAGGGUGCUUUCGAACUGCUAGGUGGGCAGGAGCUGUGACCAAACGACGGGAGCUCACCCCGCCGCAGGAAUUCGAACCGCCGACCAUACAAUCGGCAAGUCCUAGGCACUGUGGUUUCACCCACAGCGCCACCCGCGUCCCACAUAGGUCAAAUCUGUAACAAUAAUACUUAAAAUACCUAAUGUGAAAAUAAAACAAAAGCACUAAAAUUAAUAAAUCUAAUAAAAUAGGCAGUGAAUACAGUAAAAUGGACAUCAGAUCCCAUAGAAAUUUAAAAGUACAGUAGAAUUACAGUAAACAAAACAGAAACAGCAUCAUAGAUUUCAGCAGACCAGUUAAAAGCAUAAAAAAUCAAAAGUGAACAAAAAGGUUUUCACAUCCUGUUUAAAGGCUUGAAUAUGGAGAGGUAGUCUAUCACCUUUGGUACUGAGUUCCAGAAACAUUGUUAAAAGUUAUUAAAAUAAAUGGAAUAUAAGAGUGGUGAAAGGGGGAUAUAACAAAAAGAGAUUGGAAGGAGCAGUAAAUAUAAAAAAUGAAAAGAUGUAAGUAUGACUGGGGCAGGGAUGUGAAGAAAUAAUAAUUCGACCAUAAUUUAGGUAAAAGUGAAAUCUGUUCUACAUAUCUAAGAAUUGUGAGGCUUGUGUUUUUUGAACCACACAUCCAAACCCAGUACGUGGGAAAUCACUUUUGAAAACAAAGAGCAUUUUAAGAAGGAUUUGUGAUAAUAGCAUUGGAAUCAGAACAAACAAACCAAAAUGUUACACUGGGUGUGUACCAGAUGUAAGAAGACCUUAAUGUAACUAUUUAGAUCUCACUCUAUGCUCAGGAUACAAUAACCAAAGUUAUUUUGACUUGGGAACCAGCAUUAUAACUUAAAUUUUAAUUUCCUACUAGUAUUUACAAUAUAAUGCUUUAAACUUUUCCAAUUGUGCCUUUCAUGAAAGUAAAGUUUUUAAUGUUUGGUAGAAGUGUAACGAAAAGAAAAUAUUUAUGUGGUUUUUCUCAUUUGAUUUUUUAAAAAUCUGUGACCUAUUUUUGAAUGGGUGAAACAGCUGGAAGAGAAAGUUGGCUGGGAAUUUCGACUCCUUUAGAAACAGUACAAGCAAGAAUUUGGUCCUCAUUUCACAGAAUAUUACGUUUUGGAAAACUAGGACCUUGGAUUUCUGUAUGCAUUUGUUCGUAUGUGCUUAAAUCCUGCAUGAUGGGGCUUGUAUGUAUCUCCUAGGGUUGCCAUAGUUCAAAAAGUGGAAAUCCGUUUUUAACUUACUCUGAGCAAUUUUGUUAGGAAAAUCAGCAAAACCGACACUACAGGCCUGGCUUGCCAUAUGUCUGGAUUUUUCCGGACAUUUUUUUUUUUUUGGCCGAUUUCCGCCCGAACGCUGCUUCAUAUGGCAACCCUAUUUUAGGUAUACUGUUUGUGCUGUGGAAUUAUUUUUCACAUUUCUAUGAGAAACUAAGCUUAACUUUUGGUAUUUAGGGCUAUUUGUCAGUUCAUUAUCGCCAUUUAUCAUGUUACUCUUUUUCUGUGUUUUCAGGACCUAAGUACACAUCAUCUUAAUUUUGUGAUCAACAAUCACAUUGUGGCACACACACACACACACACACACACACACACACCCCAGGCCUUGGCGGGGGAAGGUUGUCCUUGAAUAUGCUGGGGGUGGGGGGUGGUUUGCUGUUCUCCGGGUGGAGAAGUUUAAGUUUUCCCUCCAUUGUCGUGAAAUUAGUGAACCACCCAUCCCCGAUGUAGCAGUUAGCAUUGGGAGAAACCUUCCAUUGGCAUCAAUGGAAGAGACAGCCUUAGGAAGUGGUGAGUUCUCGUUUGCUGGAGGUCUUCAAACUGAGCUUGGACAGAAAUCUGCAUUGAGCCGGCGGCAGCCAAUAUCAAUAUUCAGAUCUGAAAACCAGAUCAGCUGGAAUGAUGAUAAACCAGUGGUUUACAACACCAAACUAGCAUCUAGGAACCCCAGACAUAUUUUUGUACUAAUAAGGAGAUUGGAUAUUAACCUCUGUGAACAGAACUGGUUCAGAAGCACCUUUUUGUGGGUAGAUCUAAAACACAAGGCUAUUGUUCACAUCCUUCCUGUUAGUGCCUUAAAGAGUCUACCUUGGAAUGAAUUGAAUAGUACGGCUCAUUCUUCAAUUUUGGAACUUUUGUAUCCCAUCAGUGUGAUGUGCCAUUUGGGUCUGCUGGGUUUAUACCCAUUUUGCAGGUACAUGAUGCUAAUUCUUACAGAAAAAAUAACAAAAGGCCAUAUGAAUGGACUGGUAGUUUAUGUCACCAGCACUAACCACUAAUCCUUGAAGUAUAUGACCUUUCAAGUGCCUUCUAGUUGUAUGAAUUAUGAUGACCAGUUAUUGCUUUUCAAUCAAUUUAAUAUCAGGCUUAGUUAAUCAGUUCUUCUCUCUCCACAUCUGACCUCAGUAUAGUUGAAAGUAAUUUAUCACCAGCAAUACCACACCAUUCAUUCUUCUCCCUCUCAACCUAGUGAUUUGUUCAUUUAGCCCUUUCAGGAAUUUCUUCUUUUUAAUCAAAAUCAUUAACAGAAUCUGUUUACCAUCUUGGAUCCAUUUUUCUGCCUCUUGGCUUAUUUGGAAGUUAUACAACUGAACUGUUUUUCCAAGUUGUUUUCUUUAAAGAGAAUCUGGUCUUCAAAUUUAGCCAAAGUGGUGUAAAAGCUCUUGACAAUGCAAGAAAUUAAAAGGUGUAUUUUUUUCUUAAUUCAGUGCCAUGUAUAAAUGCAGUACAGUCUAUUUUAUAAUACUUGCACUAUCUUGAUUCUCGAACUGAAUCUGUUCUGGGAGUCUGUUUGAAAACCAAGGUGUGGCUUCCUAUUGGCUGUAGGAGCUUCCUGCACUCAAGAACACUUACUUCCGGGUUUGCCGCAUUUGGGAGCUGACUUGUUGGGGAGCCAAACCGUUCAAGUACCAAAGUACCAAUGUAUGUAUAUGUUUUAAGCAGUGACAGCAUAUGAAAAAUAUUUUAUAAAUUUAAAACUCUUGUCUAUAUUACUUUCUCAAGGCUUACUGUUUGACUUCUGCACUACAGCCAGAGGACAGGGCCUCCUUAAUGCUGGGAAUUCCAUCCUUGGUAUAUGGUCUUUCUGUUGUGAAUGUGGAGAGAACUGGUUUCUCUAUAUAUCUGUUGUACCUCAUCCCAUAGCUUGUGUAAGGAAAUGCAUGGCUGUAAUUAUGCACAGAAUUAUAGCUGCUACUAAUCAUACUAACAGCAUUCUCUGUUCUCUGGGUGCCUAUCUUUAUGUAGCCACAGUGGCACCAUCCAUACACCAAAGGAAAGUAUUGGCAGGCCGAGGUAGAACCCCAAGGUUUGUAGAGGUGGAUAGCUCAGUCGGUAAGAGUGUGGUGUUGAAAAUGCCAAGGUUGCAGGUUUGCUCCCCGUAAGGGACAGCUGCAUAUUCCUGUAUUGCAGAGGGUUGGACUAGAUGAUCCUCAAUGAUUCUAUGAGAAGC
RNAcentral lists this long non-coding RNA (3803 nucleotides) under Podarcis lilfordi (Lilford's wall lizard). Lineage: Eukaryota; Metazoa; Chordata; Lepidosauria; Squamata; Lacertidae. The record is from RNAcentral.